Diachasmimorpha longicaudata is the source of this 789-nucleotide RNA transcript. RefSeq lists it as uncharacterized. NCBI's taxonomy places the organism in Eukaryota, Metazoa, Arthropoda, Insecta, Hymenoptera, Braconidae. The transcript is spliced from 3 exons. The record is from RefSeq and is a predicted model, not a curated record.
CUUAUCACCGUCUACUGGUACUGCAAAAUGAUUGAAAAAAUUAUUAAAACUAUUGAACAUGAUGCAACUAUUACCCUAGACCCUUUGCCCAUCCCCCACCAGCUCAAAGUCCUCAACAAUCACCCUACCCCAUGGCAAUCGCGAUGUCCUUCGUCUCGGUGCAUUGCACCGACAGGAAGCAGCAGGAAGUCAACACCAGGCCGCGAAGAGAGAGUAACUCGAUCCCCAUCACCUCCUCACAAACAACAGAACAAAACCAAUUGUAGGUCACUCGACAUCCACGCGAAGCGGAAGGGGGAGGGGAUCCUGGUGGGGCUUUACCCUUCUGCCUGUUGCUGGUGGCUACCAGCUAACUGGACAUGGAGACGGUGCACCAGUCUCUUUCUCCUGCAGGCUCGAUCCACAGGUGAUAGAAUUAAUCCUCUCGUUCGAUUAAAAAAAAUGAGUAAAAAUAAAUGAAAAAAGUUAAAUAAUAACAAACAUAAAAAAGCGGGACAGCCGGGUUUUCAUCUCCAAUGUCCUCAUCGAAAUGAAAAUUGAAUAUCAAUAAUGUAAACAAUUGAUAGUAAUAAUAUGAUUUAUUAAAUAUAUGGGCGUUAUUGUGCUGGUGCACAUGUGCUGUUGUGACGUUUCAAGUGUCAGUGUCAAGGGAGAGAUAAAAUUGGAGUAAAUGAAAAAAUAGCUGGAGAUUUUUUUUUUGGAGCUCAUGAAGACAUUUGAUGCAGCUUGAUUGAUCGCUAUGGUACUGCCUACCUUGGUACUGUGUUAAUAGUUAGAUUGUUAACGACA